Long non-coding RNA from Lampris incognitus (smalleye Pacific opah), 619 nucleotides. RefSeq lists it as uncharacterized. NCBI's taxonomy places the organism in Eukaryota, Metazoa, Chordata, Actinopteri, Lampriformes, Lampridae. The record is from RefSeq and is a predicted model, not a curated record. The transcript has 4 exons.
AACACUUUGUAUAGUAUAAAGACUGGGUCAGGGAAAGGAGAGACAGUCAGACUUCGUGAACUGACACAAUCUGUUGUUUGUCAGGGAUAGGAAGAUCUAGACCCAGAGCUCUGUAUGCUUUAUCCAUUUACUGCUAAAUAAAACGGAUGGUUUUGAGACCGAACAUCUUCUCCUACUGCUUUAUCAACAAACACGCAGGACUAGGCUCUCACAUAGAUGAAGAUGAGUUGGUAGAGUGAGCUGCAGUCCAACAGUCUCAUAAAGAGCUUUUUUUGCAGUAGGGGACUUGCAUGGAGUCACAGGUAGCGGAGGAAAUUCUUCUGCCAUAGUGACCGUUACUGGUUCUACGGAGCGGGCGUAAUCAUGGCAUGAGGAUAUAAGCAUGUUACCCGAGUGGACCGCAGAAAUUGAAGUGGACUGUCAAAUGAGACGAUAUGGAUCCAGUGGUCAUAAUGUCGUCAGGACUCGUAUCCAUUGCCAAUGAAUCCUUAAUGAGACCACACUUGGCACCUUCUUGGCCAAACCUCUUUUCCCUAUCUAAUCAAGCAGAUAUGGAUGGAUGUAGCGUGACGUCUCCAUGACCAGAGGGAUGUAUGGUGCUUCUGAAGCUGCUGCUGCU